This 810-nucleotide ribosomal RNA is filed under the name Neoleptoneta alabama. RNAcentral's name for it is "eukaryotic LSU rRNA". The stretch from base 510 to 810 matches the Rfam family "Eukaryotic large subunit ribosomal RNA", at positions 665 to 921 of the family's 3401-position model. Lineage: Eukaryota; Metazoa; Arthropoda; Arachnida; Araneae; Leptonetidae. The record is from RNAcentral.
GAAACGGGUGGGCCCUCGAAUUCCUGUGUGGCGGGAGGAUUCAGUCGGGACCGCGCGCGGCGGGCGUGUGAUGCGGCACCGCGUCGGGAACUCCGUUUCCGUCUCGCGCUUCCGCGGUUCGCCCGCGGCGUCGCCACCGACGCAUUUCUUCCCGCACCGAGGACGCCGCGGCCGGUCGGGCACGAACAAAAGUCUUCCGAGAGGGCGGAGAUCGGCACGGGCGGGCCUUAGGGGGAGACCCCGACGGGCCUCGCCUCCUCCGUCCGGGCGGACGCCCGACCGAGGCAGAGAAGGGGGCCCGUUCCCACGGGCCCCGCCGUCCCCUUCGAAUUUCCGAUUCGAGAAGCAGGUGCCUUGAGCAAGCACGCGCCGGCGAGGGCGUCCCACCGCCUCGCGCGGUGCUCGCCCCGUCCGGCGCUGCGGACGUUCGAACGAAACGCCCGCGGGGGAUCGAAGGACGGCUCGCGGCGAGUAGGUCGGUCACCCACCCGACCCGUCUUGAAACACGGACCAAGGAGUCUGACAUGUGCGCGAGUCAAUGGGACUUGAACAGGCCCAGAGGCGGAAUGAAAGUGAACGCCGGUCUCCCGCCGCGGAGGUCCGAGCGAGGUCGAGAUUCCGCGCCCGGAGAGGCGCGGACGCAUCGACGGCCCGUCUCUCUCCGACUCGUCGGAGGGGCGGAGUCCGAGCGCACACGUCGGUACCCGAAAGACGGCGAACUAUGCUUGGCCAGGACGAAUGCAGUGGAAACUCUGCUGGAAGUCCGAAGCGGUUCUGACGUGCAAAUCGAUUGUCGGAGCUGCGUAUAGG